AUACAGUUCCAAUACUUAAACUCAUACUUCUCCAGUCACUAAUAUUUACCCAACCACAACUUAUCAAUUCUGUGUAUCAUUAGUAUCUACAAUCACUCAUUCAUUCCAACUCUCUUAACAUCUCUUACACUUACCAAACCUUCAUCACCUGCAACUUCAGUUGAACAACUCAAUUAUAACUCUCACAGCCUUGCUCAACUCAGUUCAUAUAAUCACCAUCAGCAUAACACAUUCAUCCCUGUACAUCAACUCCCAACACAACUUUCUGCAACACUAUAAUCAUUAUCAACAGUUCAUACAUCCACAACAUCUCCAAGUUGUGUACUUGUAACCCAAUAACCACACCACAUGUAAUACAACACUACCAUUCAACCUGUAACUCAAGCAUACUUUCAUUCCAACAAAAGACAAUUAUCUGUAACUCAAUACAAUCCAACUAUAACUCCAUCUACACCCUAUAGCCAUAUAAAUAGCUACCUCCACAUUCAUCACAUCAUCUCAGGUAACUCAUUUCAACUAUAAUAUGACUAGUAAUCUCAUAAACUCAAAACCAAAGUAGAUAACCGAACUAUAUUUACUGAGAACAAACAAUUACCUCAUGAUACAUCCUCUCAAGCAACUGAUUUCGAUUUCUUCUUUACUUGUACAAACAUAUACCAAUUCAACUCAAGCAAAUGAAUUAGAUUCCUCUUUACUCUGACGUGACUCAGAAAUCAUCUCAAAACCACCACCAUAUGCCAAACCAACUCUACUCUUCGUCUCUGGUGUGAGUCUCAUACUCAUCAACCUUCAGAACCCUAAUUCAUAAAAUUGGGGAAGAACAGGACAACCCUAAUUCUCAAAUUCAUCUUCAGAACAAUUUCAUAUCACCAAAUUAACAAAGACCCCAUCCUUACACAUCUAAUAGGAACUCAAAACCAGCAUCAAUUUUACUCGAACCUUAAUUGAAUUCCAGAAUCCUUAAUUCCAAUUUACAGCAGCAUCGACAUCUCCUCUUCUUCUCAUAACUAAACCAAAAUCAGCACCACCAUCUGAUCUUGAUUAUAAUUCUCUUUUCUUAAUCUCAGUCUAGUGAUCUUGUUCUCCAUGACCAAUUCUCGGAAACCCUAAUCUUCUUCUCACGAUUUACAACAUCAUCUUCUUCUUCCCGGUUUCAAACAACCACAGUACUACCACCAACAAGCAACCCAUGAUGUCCUUCGCAAUUCUCUCGACCUCACAGCCUCAGAAACUCAGAAGAAUUCACCAGAGGUGAAGAACAGAAGAAGAAGCAGGAAAGAAGAAGAAAGAAGAAGAAGAAGAAGAAGAAUGACUUUUUAGCUCGAGUUCUGGUGAUAUUAUCAGGCCAAAGAAUUUCUCCGCUACACCAACUCACUGAGACACGUGCAGCCACAACGAGUCUGUAUUGCAUCAAUAACAUUUUUCGUGAUUAAUCUAUCCUAGCCAUGUUCAUCCCACGAAGCUACCGGGUUGUUCCGCACUGGGCUGGUAUCAAAUUUUAGGGUGUCAGGCUGGGAUGUGCUCGUGCUGGCACGACUCAAUUUACACCUCUACAUUAUCUCUUUCAUGGUUGCAUCAUCUUGUAAAUAUAUACUUAUAGAUAUCAUGGAAUUGCGAUAUCA
Long non-coding RNA from Papaver somniferum (opium poppy), 1622 nucleotides. RefSeq lists it as uncharacterized. NCBI's taxonomy places the organism in Eukaryota, Viridiplantae, Streptophyta, Magnoliopsida, Ranunculales, Papaveraceae. The record is from RefSeq and is a predicted model, not a curated record. The transcript has 2 exons.